This is a long non-coding RNA of Tupaia belangeri chinensis (Chinese tree shrew), 1115 nucleotides long. RefSeq lists it as uncharacterized. The record is from RefSeq and is a predicted model, not a curated record. NCBI's taxonomy places the organism in Eukaryota, Metazoa, Chordata, Mammalia, Scandentia, Tupaiidae. The transcript is spliced from 3 exons.
CUUCUCCCUAAAAGAUCACUAAAAUGCCAUUCCAUCAAGAUUGUUUUUUUGUUUGUUUGCUUCUUUUUCAUUAUUCUUCUCCUCCCUUUUUUCUUUCUUCAUUGACAGAGGGUGUGCAUGCCCUCCAGAUAAAGAGACACUGAGAAAGCAAGCACCUCCAAUAAGCCUAUAUGUUUUUUCCUGGUACAAAGCUUUGGACAAGCUGAUCCACAAAGUUGUUAUCCUGGAGCCUGUUUCUACCUAUUCACCCCAACUCUUCUCAAGUGAACCCUCCCCAUUUUUGUCUCAGUGGUUUGGAUGGAGAUCCUGAUUGGAUAGAAACCUAGACCUGGGUAAACAACAUCACUCACUCUUUUCAUCAGCAUUUGGUUCAUGGAUGGACCAUGACCUUAGCAACACCUGUGAAAUAUAAUUCUGGGAUAUCUGCUGAAACAACUCGGAAAAAGUCAUUCUCUUGCUAUGAGCAUUGGUAAACUAUAGUGUUCACUUGGGGUUCCCAAGUCCUAUCACAUAGAUAAGACCUACUGAGAGUCUAGCCAGCCACCAGAAGGAGAAGCAGGGAUGCCAAGGGGAAAGGUGGUGGAAAGAAAUACCUGAUAAUUUAGAGUUCUUGGAUCCUGACAUGGCUAUAGUUACCACUUUGGAACUUUUAGGAGUUCCUUCCUUUUUGUGCUGGAGCCAGUGUGUGUUGUGUUUACUACAUUUCUUGCAAACAAAUGAGUCCUGACUGAUACACUCUUCUCAGGGCGGAAGCUGAGAAGGGUUCCAGGAAAUGACCGGAGUGGUUAGUCAAAGGUGUAACUGUCCAAUGAACAACAAGGUCUCCCACUGGGAGGUGAGACUAGAGCAAAGUGUGCUGAAGGGCAGACAGGAAAACCAUGGAUGUGAGCUGAACCCUGGCCAACCAGUAGAACUUAGUGCAGAACAAUGAAUGUCCUAAAGAAGACACAAACAGAGCCAGGCUCUCAGAAGCUUUGGAACGUUUGGCAAGUGAGUUGCUAACCUUUGGGCAGCAACUGUAAGACGGAGCAAUACUCAUACAUGGGGUGGUUUUCAUGAACUUUAAAUGAAAUAAUGCAGUAUUCAGGGCUAGGCAUUUGAUACCUUAAAAAUAC